UGGUAUUCAUGAAAACUACUACGCAAAACC
RNAcentral lists this non-coding RNA (30 nucleotides) under Rattus norvegicus (Norway rat). The record is from RNAcentral. Lineage: Eukaryota; Metazoa; Chordata; Mammalia; Rodentia; Muridae.